RNAcentral lists this unclassified non-coding RNA (784 nucleotides) under Hevea brasiliensis (rubber tree). Lineage: Eukaryota; Viridiplantae; Streptophyta; Magnoliopsida; Malpighiales; Euphorbiaceae. The record is from RNAcentral.
UGCAGAUGGUGACUUCUUGAGGGAAGAAGGGGUGGAGUGGGCAACUCUUUGUUUUCAUGAUUGAAUCAUAUCUGUGUUAGUUGCCUGGAGGAAGAUGUGUUAGAUGAGCUGCCUUCACUGGAUUUCUUCCAUAAUGGUUUUGAUCUGCCAAGUUUGCAAAAGAAGCCUUGAUUAUUUUGGCUUUCACCCUUUUUUCCACAAGUACCACUUAAGAAUCUGUAAAUAACAUUCCUGCAAGAAUAUGUCUUGAAAGACUUGUAUUCAUGGAGCUGUAAAAUAAUGAAGAGAUGUAUUAGGUCCUUCAGUUUUUUUAUUUCAUGUAAAUGGAUACAUGUAUUAGGUCCUUUAGUUUCUUCUUGUUCUACAUCAGGUCAACAUCAUGUAAUGGUCUCCUUCAUUAUUUAUUUUGAUCAUUGAUCUUUUUUCUGUUUCAUCACUGAGCUUGUAAAAGUCUUGUACCAAUUGUGGGGACCAUAUUUGUACAUAUUUGAUGUUUUGUAAUUCCUCUUGUUAUGUCUCUGUGUUAGUUAGAAGGGUCAGAGAUGGGUUAAUAAUGCUUUGUAAUGAUGGGUGGAUAUCCCUACUCUAUUUUGGUCACUGUAAUACAUAUAAAACCCAAGUUUUAAGGACAUUCUUUCUGAAAAGUUGAAGGAUUUGAGAAGUUUCAUCAUUACAAUGUAAAUUUGGGGUCUACCUCACUAUUAGGAGCUAUGAGUAAAUGCUACAAUGUUGCAGAUGCGCGGGAACCAAAAAGAGUGUUGACUGUUUUGGGCUUGUUUAUCCC